Molecule: long non-coding RNA, 804 nt
Organism: Micropterus dolomieu (smallmouth bass)
Lineage: Eukaryota; Metazoa; Chordata; Actinopteri; Centrarchiformes; Centrarchidae
Exons: 2
Source: RefSeq, a predicted model, not a curated record
UUUACCAUUCUCGAAAGGAGUGUACUCGACCCUGUAGGUCCCAUCGGCCUUGUCGUUGACCAGGCAGUCUGUCAGCGCUCCGGAUGGGUUCCUGACCUCCGCCUUCACGUGUUCGCCACCUCGCCGGGUCAGAGAAUGGGCGUCCACAGUGAACUCUGUGGUGGCUUCUCUGAAAAUACCUGGAGGAGAGAACUACACACAGACUCAGAUGGACCAUAGUGCACCUUUUCCUUCCACUCCAGGUCCGAACACUUUGACCGUGGAAGUGUCGACAGCAGGAUCCACCAUCACCUUGGCAGGGAAACCAGGGACGGCCUUGCCCCCGUACUUCAGCAGCAGGGUGUACAUCCCGGAAGUCAGGGGGACAUAGGUCACGGUGUAGGUUCCGUCUUUGUUGUCCACGACCUCUGUCUUAGCUUUAACACCUGGAACAAACAGUCAAGUUUUUACACUUGUAUCACAGAACUGAACACUUUUGUAGAAUUUGGUGAACCAUUCUUGUGGUUUUCCACGUCCAGCAAUUUCUUUAGGUUAUUUCAAUGUGAAGUGAGUCUCAAAGGGGACAUCUUGACACAAACUUGGGACCUGCAGCAAUACAAUGGACAGUUGUACUGAUCUUCUCAUGUUACUUAUGUAAAGUGAAUUAGCAUAUUUCCCAAAAUAUGGAACUAUUCCUUUAAAAUCAUACAGGAUGAUGACUGGUAUCUACUCGCAGCAGGGUUCAAGUGUUUGCAUCCAGACUUGCACAGAAAUGAACUGAAACCAAUGACUGCCUAGACGAAAUUAAAUAUACAUUGCAACUAA